This 253-nucleotide ribosomal RNA is filed under the name uncultured bacterium. Its description in RNAcentral is "partial 16S ribosomal RNA". It matches the Rfam family "Bacterial small subunit ribosomal RNA", at positions 524 to 776 of the family's 1533-position model. The record is from RNAcentral.
UACGUAGGGGGCAAGCGUUAUCCGGAUUUACUGGGUGUAAAGGGAGCGCAGACGGCAGUGCAAGUCUGGAGUGAAAGCCCGGGGCCCAACCCCGGGACUGCUCUGGAAACUGUACGGCUGGAGUACGGGAGGGGCAGGCGGAAUUCCUAGUGUAGCGGUGAAAUGCGUAGAUAUUAGGAGGAACACCGGCGGCGAAGGCGGCCUGCUGGACCGAAACUGACGUUGAGGCUCGAAAGCGUGGGGAGCAAGCAGG